This 24-nucleotide microRNA is filed under the name Panagrellus redivivus. RNAcentral's name for it is "prd-miR-7887-5p". Lineage: Eukaryota; Metazoa; Nematoda; Chromadorea; Rhabditida; Panagrolaimidae. The record is from miRBase by way of RNAcentral.
GGGGUGGAUAAGGAGACGAGUACC